Molecule: ribosomal RNA, 253 nt
Filed under: uncultured prokaryote
Description: partial 16S ribosomal RNA
Rfam family: Bacterial small subunit ribosomal RNA
Source: RNAcentral
ACAGAGGGUGCGAGCGUUGUUCGGAAUUAUUGGGCGUAAAGGGCGCGUAGGCGGUGCGGUAAGUCACCUGUGAAAUCUCUGGGCUCAACUCAGAGUCUGCUUCCGAAACUGUUGUGCUUGAGUGUGGGAGAGGCGCGUGGAAUUGCAGGUGUAGCGGUGAAAUGCGUAGAUAUCUGCAGGAACACCCGUGGCGAAAGCGGCGCGCUGGACCACUACUGACGCUGAGGAACGAAAGCUAGGGGAGCAAACAGGA